This 253-nucleotide ribosomal RNA is filed under the name uncultured bacterium. RNAcentral's name for it is "partial 16S ribosomal RNA". It matches the Rfam family "Bacterial small subunit ribosomal RNA", at positions 524 to 776 of the family's 1533-position model. The record is from RNAcentral.
UACGUAGGGUCCGAGCGUUGUCCGGAAUUACUGGGCGUAAAGAGCUCGUAGGUGGUUUGUCGCGUUGUUCGUGAAAACUCACAGCUUAACUGUGGGCGUGCGGGGGAUACGGGCAGACUGGAGUACUGCAGGGGAGACUGGAAUUCCUGGUGUAGCGGUGGAAUGCGCAGAUAUCAGGAGGAACACCGGUGGCGAAGGCGGGUCUCUGGGCAGUAACUGACGCUGAGGAGCGAAAGCGUGGGGAGCGAACAGG